UUUCCGUAGGUGAACCUGCGGAAGGAUCAUUAAUGAAAACAACAUGGAAAGGGUUUUUUUACCCUUUUUCCAUCAACCACAUGUGAAUCUUUUUUAACCAUUUCACCUUUCCCCUCUGAGAUGGGGGGAAACGGGGUCAAUAACAUCUUAUUAUACACAUACAAACACAAACACAAAACAAAACUUUCAACAACGGAUCUCUUGGCUUGCCCAUCGAUGAAGAACGCAGC
RNAcentral lists this unclassified non-coding RNA (230 nucleotides) under uncultured fungus. RNAcentral's name for it is "sequence contains ITS1, 5.8S rRNA gene". The stretch from base 182 to 230 matches the Rfam family "5.8S ribosomal RNA", at positions 1 to 49 of the family's 154-position model. The record is from RNAcentral. Lineage: Eukaryota; Fungi.